This 165-nucleotide ribosomal RNA is filed under the name uncultured bacterium. RNAcentral describes it as "partial 16S rRNA". It matches the Rfam family "Bacterial small subunit ribosomal RNA", at positions 355 to 511 of the family's 1533-position model. The record is from RNAcentral.
CAGGGAAUCUUCGGCAAUGGACGAAAGUCUGACCGAGCAACGCCGCGUGAGUGAAGAAGGUUUUCGGAUCGUAAAACUCUGUUGGUAGAGAAGAACGUUGGUGAGAGUGGAAAGCUCAUCAAGUGACGGUAACUACCCAGAAAGGGACGGCUAACUACGUGCCAC